GAGGGUAUAGCUCAGUGGCAGAGUACAUACCUAGCAUGCACAAAGUCCUGGGUUCAAUUCCCAGUACCUCUG
RNAcentral lists this transfer RNA (72 nucleotides) under Camelus bactrianus (Bactrian camel). It matches the Rfam family "tRNA". Rfam says of the family: Transfer RNA (tRNA) molecules are approximately 80 nucleotides in length. Their secondary structure includes four short double-helical elements and three loops (D, anti-codon, and T loops). The record is from Rfam by way of RNAcentral. RNAcentral also lists the same sequence under 3 other names. Lineage: Eukaryota; Metazoa; Chordata; Mammalia; Artiodactyla; Camelidae.